RNAcentral lists this ribosomal RNA (322 nucleotides) under uncultured eukaryote. RNAcentral's name for it is "partial 18S ribosomal RNA". It matches the Rfam family "Eukaryotic small subunit ribosomal RNA", at positions 1470 to 1796 of the family's 1831-position model. The record is from RNAcentral.
CCCUUAGAUGUUCUGGGCCGCACGCGUGCUACACUGAGUGGAUCAGCGGGUCAGGUUGCGCGAAAGCGUUUCCUAAUCUUUAAAUCCGCUCGUGAUGGGGAUCGACGGUUGCAAUUUUCCGUCGUGAACGAGGAAUACCUUGUAGGCGCAUGUCAUCAUCAUGCGCCGAAUACGUCCCUGCCCUUUGUACACACCGCCCGUCGCUCCUACCGAUUGAGUGAUCCGGUGAGGCUCUGGGACCUGGACGGAAAGAGCGUUUCGCUUGUUCUGUUUGGGAAACUUGGUCGAACCUUAUCAUUUAGAGGAAGGAGAAGUCGUAACA